AAGUCGUAACAAGGUUUCCGUAGGUGAACCUGCGGAAGGAUCAUUAUUGAAACAAAACAUUGUAGAAAGUUUGGAUUCUCUUUAAAACCGAGAUUCAUUCUUUUCUCUCUCACCCCUUGUGCAUUAUGUAGAAACCACAUCGCUUUCCCUGAUUCCGAUCAGGGGACGAUUAAAACAACACCACUUUUUUAAUUACAUCUACUUGAUGUUUAUACUUAUAAAUCAUAACAAAACUUUCAACAACGGAUCUCUUGGCUCUC
Molecule: unclassified non-coding RNA, 260 nt
Filed under: fungal sp.
Lineage: Eukaryota; Fungi
Description: partial internal transcribed spacer region
Rfam family: Eukaryotic small subunit ribosomal RNA (bases 1-46)
Source: RNAcentral